AGAGUUUGAUCCUGGCUCAGAUUGAACGCUGGCGGCAGGCCUAACACAUGCAAGUCGAGCGGUAGCACAGAGAGCUUGCUCUCGGGUGACGAGCGGCGGACGGGUGAGUAAUGUCUGGGAAACUGCCUGAUGGAGGGGGAUAACUACUGGAAACGGUAGCUAAUACCGCAUAACGUCGCAAGACCAAAGUGGGGGACCUUCGGGCCUCAUGCCAUCAGAUGUGCCCAGAUGGGAUUAGCUAGUAGGUGGGGUAAUGGCUCACCUAGGCGACGAUCCCUAGCUGGUCUGAGAGGAUGACCAGCCACACUGGAACUGAGACACGGUCCAGACUCCUACGGGAGGCAGCAGUGGGGAAUAUUGCACAAUGGGCGCAAGCCUGAUGCAGCCAUGCCGCGUGUAUGAAGAAGGCCUUCGGGUUGUAAAGUACUUUCAGCGAGGAGGAAGGCGUUAAGGUUAAUAACCUUAGCGAUUGACGUUACUCGCAGAAGAAGCACCGGCUAACUCCGUGCCAGCAGCCGCGGUAAUACGGAGGGUGCAAGCGUUAAUCGGAAUUACUGGGCGUAAAGCGCACGCAGGCGGUCUGUUAAGUCAGAUGUGAAAUCCCCGGGCUCAACCUGGGAACUGCAUUUGAAACUGGCAGGCUUGAGUCUUGUAGAGGGGGGUAGAAUUCCAGGUGUAGCGGUGAAAUGCGUAGAGAUCUGGAGGAAUACCGGUGGCGAAGGCGGCCCCC
This 730-nucleotide ribosomal RNA is filed under the name uncultured Raoultella sp. RNAcentral describes it as "bacterial SSU rRNA". It matches the Rfam family "Bacterial small subunit ribosomal RNA", at positions 8 to 729 of the family's 1533-position model. Lineage: Bacteria; Pseudomonadati; Pseudomonadota; Gammaproteobacteria; Enterobacterales; Enterobacteriaceae. The record is from RNAcentral.